This 980-nucleotide long non-coding RNA is filed under the name Fukomys damarensis (Damara mole-rat). RNAcentral's name for it is "lncRNA (ENSFDAG00000025577.1)". The record is from RNAcentral. Lineage: Eukaryota; Metazoa; Chordata; Mammalia; Rodentia; Bathyergidae.
AUGACCUUUGAGGGUGUUUUGCUGCCUCGAGUCCACAUGAGGGUUGGUCUGAGCCACCAGAAACCUAGUGAGAUCGUGGAAUUCCAUUCAAUAUCACUCUCCCAGGAUCUAGAAAUGUGGCUCAAGGAUCAGCCCCUCUGCCAUCUCCCCUGCUACAGUUGCAGCCUCCAGUGUCAUUUUGGAGACCUUCUCAUCAGGGGCAGAAUUGACUUUGUACACAGUUGCUGCUUGGCUGAUAGAAUGGAAGAGGUCAAGGAAUUUGUUCAAGAUAACCAAAGAAAUUACAAGAAGAGCAUUACUUCUGUCAGUCUUGGGAGCAUCUCUUUACUCAUCUCCCUUAAUACAAGCAAAUGAGUCUUUUAUUCAUUCUUGCUCAACUACUGGGCUUUCCAGGUGAUGGAACCCACUUGCUUACUGGCCUUCAUGGGGACUGCCCACCUUUCUAUAUAACCUGUGUAGAGCGCCUGCCCCUCACCUGGCUUAGAGUCACCUGACACUCGGCUUCUCAGUACUGUAUACAGGUGAGGGGUGGUGGGUCCAUAGAAGGGAGUGGGUCCUCCCCUGAGUUUUAUGAGCACGAGGACUGAAUCCCUUUGUUAGUGUCAAGCGCUCCUUUAUGUGUCCAGAGUAUCCUGCUUUGUACUUCGAACCACAUAGAAUGAUGUCACUUGGCCAUCAGGAGACAUCCCACAAGCCACUGAGUGGAAAGGUCAAUGUGCAGUGGGCUUAUGACAGAUUCUAGCAGUUGAAUUCAUGGAAUGAGUUCACAUCUCUUCAAGCUCUGUUCUCUCAUGAUGACUUGGGGCCAGCAACUCUUUGAUCUAUUUUCUUUUUUGGUGUUUUAAGUUGAUACCAAUCUCUGUGAUUGUGAUGCGUUUUAAUUCUCAGAGCAGACCCAGAGUCAACCCCUUUGUAAGCAAGAUGUCAUGGAAUCUGUGUAAUCUUGUUCCUCAGUGGCUCCAAUUUCUGUGUACCCGGCA